UCGAAACACCCCCUCCCCCUCCUUGUCCCCUCGAAACACCCCCUCCCCCUCCUUGUCCCCUCGAAACACCCCUUCCCAGUAUCCCUCUGGCCCAGUCGAGUACAACUUCCAGUGGGAUGUGAAUGAUCCAAGAAGCGGCAAUUUUUAUGGCCAUCGGGAAGAAAGACAAGAUGUGGACACACGUGGGAGAUACUACGUGCAGUUACCUAACGGUCGGCUCAUGGUAGUAGACUACUACGUCGACAGAACCGGCUACCAUCCCACCAUUACAUACGAAGACCAGGGACUUGCUCCGUCAAAUCCUUCCCAAAAUCUCGAAGAAAGCCAGGACUAUGCGCAGACGGAGCAAAGAUCAAAUCAAGACCUCCCACAGACCGGUCCCAGUCCUGAGCAAAGCCCUCAACUGAGACCUAGACCUAACCGGGGCUACACACCGUUCGGAAGUCGAAGUAAAAGUCUCCAGCAGACUCUUCCCGGUAUCUCUCAGGAGCUCACCCUUCCUGUACAAUAAUGGGUAUACUAGGGAUUACCUAUCACUGUACCUGCAUCAUCUGUCAUUUCCAAUGUAAAUACCUUAAGGAGUAAAUGAUUACAAAUAUA
Penaeus chinensis is the source of this 600-nucleotide long non-coding RNA. RefSeq lists it as uncharacterized. The transcript has 2 exons. The record is from RefSeq and is a predicted model, not a curated record. Lineage: Eukaryota; Metazoa; Arthropoda; Malacostraca; Decapoda; Penaeidae.